This 486-nucleotide ribosomal RNA is filed under the name uncultured bacterium. Its description in RNAcentral is "bacterial SSU rRNA". It matches the Rfam family "Bacterial small subunit ribosomal RNA", at positions 23 to 507 of the family's 1533-position model. The record is from RNAcentral.
CUCAGAUUGAACGCUGGCGGCAUGCCUUACACAUGCAAGUCGAACGGCAGCGGGCCUUCGGGUGCCGGCGAGUGGCGAACGGGUGAGUAAUGCAUCGGAACGUGCCAUUGAGUGGGGGAUAACGUAGCGAAAGUUGCGCUAAUACCGCAUAUUCUGUGAGCAGGAAAGCAGGGGACCGCAAGGCCUUGCGCUCUUUGAGCGGCCGAUGUCAGAUUAGCUAGUUGGUGAGGUAAAGGCUUACCAAGGCGACGAUCUGUAGCGGGUCUGAGAGGAUGAUCCGCCACACUGGAACUGAGACACGGUCCAGACUCCUACGGGAGGCAGCAGUGGGGAAUUUUGGACAAUGGGGCAACCCUGAUCCAGCCAUGCCGCGUGAGUGAAGAAGGCCUUCGGGUUGUAAAGCUCUUUCGGCCGGGAAGAAAUCGCAUGGGUGAAUACCCUGUGUGGAUGACGGUACCGGAACAAGAAGCACCGGCUAACUACGUG